UGCAGUCGACGAGAACGGGUUAUAGCUUGCUAUAACUGUUAGCUAAGUGGCGCACGGGUGAGUAAUAUAUAGGUAAUGUGCCCUAGAGAAGAGGAUAACAGUUGGAAACGACUGCUAAUACUCUAUAUGCCUUUAAGACAAAAGUCUGCAAGGGAAAUAUUUAUAGCUCUAGGANCGGCCUGUACGGUAUCAGCUAGUUGGUGAGGUAAUGGCUCACCAAGGCAAUGACGCCUAACUGGUUUGAGAGGAUGAUCAGUCACACUGGAACUGAGACACGGUCCAGACUCCUACGGGAGGCAGCAGUGGGGAAUAUUGCACAAUGGGGGAAACCCUGAUGCAGCAACGCCGCGUGGAGGAUGACACAUUUCGGUGCGUAAACUCCUUUUAUAUAGGAAGAUAAUGACGGUACUAUAUGAAUAAGCGCCGGCUAACUCCGUGCCAGCAGCCGCGGUAAUACGGAGGGCGCAAGCGUUACUCGGAAUCACUGGGCGUAAAGAGCGUGUAGGCGGGUUAAUAAGUUUGAAGUGAAAUCCUAUGGCUCAACCAUAGAACUGCUUUGAAAACUGUUAACCUGGAGUUUAGAAGAGGUAACUGGAAUUGGUGGUGUAGGGGUAAAAUCCGUAGAGAUCACCAGGAAUGCCAACGGCGAAAGCAAGUUACUGGGAUAAUACUGACGCUGAGGCUCGAAAGCGUGGGGAGCAAACAGGAUUAGAUACCCUGGUAGUCCCCU
RNAcentral lists this ribosomal RNA (730 nucleotides) under uncultured bacterium. RNAcentral describes it as "bacterial SSU rRNA". It matches the Rfam family "Bacterial small subunit ribosomal RNA", at positions 56 to 799 of the family's 1533-position model. The record is from RNAcentral.